This 231-nucleotide unclassified non-coding RNA is filed under the name Hevea brasiliensis (rubber tree). The record is from RNAcentral. Lineage: Eukaryota; Viridiplantae; Streptophyta; Magnoliopsida; Malpighiales; Euphorbiaceae.
GCAGAUGCGUGGUCCUCUUCCAUCAUGACACCAACCCCAGAGUCAGACUGUCUAGAACUGUCAACAGAUAUCCCUAAAGCAGUAGUUUCUGUAUCCAAAGUUGGCACAGUUGAAGCUAACUUUUCUUAUGAGCUUUGGCUUUUUGGAACCUCCUCAUGAGUCUUAUUUACUACAGGUACAAUUGGUCAAGUUCUCCAUUCAUUCCUAGAAGACUCACCAAUUUUCCUUUUU